Molecule: ribosomal RNA, 406 nt
Filed under: uncultured bacterium
Lineage: Bacteria
Description: partial 16S ribosomal RNA
Rfam family: Bacterial small subunit ribosomal RNA
Source: RNAcentral
AUUGAACGCUGGCGGCAGGCCUAACACAUGCAAGUCGAACGAGUGGCGGACGGGUGAGUAAUGUCUGGGAAACUGCCUGCUGGAGGGGGAUAACUACUGGAAACGGUAGCUAAUACCGCAUACCAUCGUAUGUUCCCAGAUGGGAUUAGCUAUUAGGUGGGGUAAAGGCUCACCUAGGCGACGAUCCCUAGCUGGUCUGAGAGGAUGACCAGCCAAACUGGACUGGAGACACGGGCAAGCCCCUUACGGGAGGAACAAGUGGGGAACAUUGCACAAUGGGCGCAAGCCUGAUGCAGCACUGCCGCGUGGAGGAAGAAGGCUUUGGGGUUGAAAAGUACUUUGAGCGGGGAGGCGUUACCCGACGAAGAAGGACCGGCUAACUCCGUGCCAGCAGCCGCGGUAAUAC